This 441-nucleotide ribosomal RNA is filed under the name uncultured bacterium. RNAcentral's name for it is "partial 16S ribosomal RNA". It matches the Rfam family "Bacterial small subunit ribosomal RNA", at positions 338 to 795 of the family's 1533-position model. The record is from RNAcentral.
CCUACGGGAGGCAGCAGUGGGGGAUAUUGCACAAUGGGGGAAACCCUGAUGCAGCGACGCCGCGUGGGUGAAGAAGUAUUUCGGUAUGUAAAGCCCUAUCAGCAGGGAAGAAAGAAGACGGUACCUGACUAAGAAGCCCCGGCUAACUACGUGCCAACAGCCGCGGUAAUACGUAGGGGGCGAGCGUUAUCCGGAUUCACUGGGUGUAAAGGGAGCGUAGACGGCCGUGCAAGCCAGGAGUGAAAGCCCGGGGCCCAACCCCGGGACUGCUCUUGGAACUGUGCGGCUGGAGUGCGGGAGGGGCAGGCGGAAUUCCUGGUGUAGCGGUGAAAUGCGUAGAUAUCAGGAGGAACACCGGCGGCGAAGGCGGCCUGCUGGACCGCGACUGACGUUGAGGCUCGAAAGCGUGGGGAGCGAACAGGAUUAGAUACCCUAGUAGUC